CACAUGGUCCAGCCUAACUGGAUGGGCAGAGAAAUAUGAAUUCCUGCCAGGUGGAAGAGGAUAACCAGGGCUUUACAGACCCGGCCCUAGACAUCUUGCUAACCAUCUCCAUUCAUCCCAGUGUGCAUUGCGUAUCUGCAUUGUGCAACAACCAACCUCCCCCACUGGCAGAAAUACCUGCUCCACCGUAAAGAGCAACGUUUUCCUAGCAUCAAGACAACUCGUGAAAGAUAGCAUUCCUUCUUGGUCUUGUAAGGGGCUAUGAUGACACUUAGAUCUGGUUUGUGUAAAUUGUCAGUAAAACACCAUUUAAUAUACAGCCUUCAGUCUCUCAAAAAAACUUAUAUAACUGAUCCUUGACUUCUAAUGUGUGGAGCAGUUCUCAGAACUUUCUGAGAUGCUGUUCUUUGUUUAUAAUUCUCAAUUUGGCUUGAAUACAAUUUUCCAUUUCUUUCUUAGAUCUACUGAUUAAUUUUUUGUUGACAGUUUUUUGUCAGUUUACUUGUUAAAAAAAAAGAACUGUUAAACAUUUGAAUGCCAAACAUUCUUAUGGAUAAUCUAUAUAAUACCAAUAUUAUAUCAAAUAUAUUCAAAAUAUAUAAUACUAGUAUAAAAUAAAAUCGAAAUUGCUCCAAAAGGAAAAUGAUUAAUUUAUUUAUAAUACAUAGGUAGGUAACAAUUCUUUAAGAUGUAAGCAUAUAUAUGUAUCUUUUUCUCAGUGAGCAUCUUAGCUUUCUGAGUGUUAUCAAAGUGCCUUUUUAAGGUAACUUGCCUUUAUCCAAAUACCCAUUUCUGCAAACUCACAGCAAAACAAUAUGCCAUCCAUCUGCAGUAUAUUCCCUUUCUCCUCUCUCUUCCAGGAACACUUACCACUCAAGCCACAAUAUGUCAUCUAGAUCUGGCUUUCAGUGUUCCAUGAAAAUUUAUCUAUUUUGUAUCUUAUAUCUUCAAACAUUACUCCUUGUAACAUAUGGGGGGAAGGUGGUUAAAACCCAAAAAUCUACUGUCAUGGUAAGAAUGCCAGGGAGGCUCAUAUGAAAGGCAUUGCUAUUUAGUACCUUAGUAAACUCUAUUUCUGCUUCUUAAAUUGCCUGAUGUAAUUAGCUUUCUACUCUCCCAGAAAGAAAGAUCCACUUUGGUCUUUUUUGUUUUGUUUUGCUGUUUUUUCAUUUUAUAUUUUUCAUUUUACCAUUUGUUUUUUCAUCUUUAAAGUUUUAUUGAAGGAUAGUUGACUUACAAUGUUGUGAUAAUUUUUGCUGUACAAUGAGGUGAUUCAUUUAUACAUGUACACAUAUUCAUUCUCUUUCAGAUUCUUUUCCCACAAAGGUUAUCACAAAAUAUGGGUAGAGUUCUCUGUGCUAUACAGCAGAUCCCUGUUGGCCAGUCAUUCUAACAAUGUGCAAGAUCCACUUUGAAAUGUGUAUCCCAAGAACCAUAUUCCCAAGCCAAUGGCCAAAGCCAAAUCUAUAGCCAUAUUAUCAACUAUGGUUCUUUUUGUGAAGACUGUAUCAAAUAUGGGUUCUUGGAUCUAAGACAUUUCUUUCUCUGCUAUUGUUUUCAUUUUAACUAUUAACUGAAUAAAAGAAAAUAAAGUUCCACCUAAAUUA
This 1607-nucleotide long non-coding RNA is filed under the name Sus scrofa (pig). Its description in RNAcentral is "lncRNA (ENSSSCG00015017411.1)". The record is from RNAcentral. Lineage: Eukaryota; Metazoa; Chordata; Mammalia; Artiodactyla; Suidae.